AUUGAACGCUGGCGGCAGGCCUAACACAUGCAAGUCGAGCGGAUGAAGGGAGCUUGCUCCUGGAUUCAGCGGCGGACGGGUGAGUAAUGCCUAGGAAUCUGCCUGGUAGUGGGGGAUAACGUCCUGAAACGGGCGCUAAUACCGCAUACGUCCUGAGGGAGAAAGUGGGGGAUCUUCGGACCUCACGCUAUCAGAUGAGCCUAGGUCGGAUUAGCUAGUUGGUGGGGUAAAGGCCUACCAAGGCGACGAUCCGUAACUGGUCUGAGAGGAUGAUCAGUCACACUGGAACUGAGAUACGGUCCAGACUCCUACGGGAGGCAGCAGUGGGGAAUAUUGGACAAUGGGCGAAAGCCUGAUCCAGCCAUGCCGCGUGUGUGAAGAAGGUCUUCGGAUUGUAAAGCACUUUAAGUUGGGAGGAAGGGCAGUAAGUUAAUACCUUGCUGUUUUGACGUUACCAACAGAAUAAGCACCGGCUAACUUCGUG
This 484-nucleotide ribosomal RNA is filed under the name uncultured bacterium. Its description in RNAcentral is "partial 16S ribosomal RNA". It matches the Rfam family "Bacterial small subunit ribosomal RNA", at positions 30 to 507 of the family's 1533-position model. The record is from RNAcentral.